AUUGAACGCUGGCGGCAUGCCUUACACAUGCAAGUCGAACGGCAGCACGGGAGCAAUCCUGGUGGCGAGUGGCGAACGGGUGAGUAAUAUAUCGGAACGUGCCCAGUCGUGGGGAUAACGUAGCGAAAGCUACGCUAAUACCGCAUACGAUCUAUGGAUGAAAGCGGGGGAUCGCAAGACCUCGCGCGAUUGGAGCGGCCGAUAUCAGAUUAGGUAGUUGGUGAGGUAAAGGCUCGCCAAGCCGACGAUCUGUAGCUGGUCUGAGAGGACGACCAGCCACACUGGGACUGAGACACGGCCCAGACUCCUACGGGAGGCAGCAGUGGGGAAUUUUUGGGACAAUGGGCGCAAGCCUGAUCCAGCAAUGCCGCGUGCAGGAUGAA
RNAcentral lists this ribosomal RNA (383 nucleotides) under uncultured bacterium. RNAcentral's name for it is "bacterial SSU rRNA". It matches the Rfam family "Bacterial small subunit ribosomal RNA", at positions 30 to 412 of the family's 1533-position model. The record is from RNAcentral.